Molecule: long non-coding RNA, 617 nt
Organism: Passer domesticus (house sparrow)
Lineage: Eukaryota; Metazoa; Chordata; Aves; Passeriformes; Passeridae
Exons: 4
Source: RefSeq, a predicted model, not a curated record
UUCUUACAACGCUACAGUGCUGAACAAAUAAACAAAGUGACUUUUUCUUUUGCAAAGUCAGAAAAAAAAAAGCUGCAAAGGAGUGUAUCCAUGGUGUGUCAGAGGAAUCCACUUGGGAAUAGCACUGGCCUCCACAGAAGCUUUAUGGGAUCUGCAGCUGGAUGUUCUGAGGACAGCAUCUAGAUGGAAAAUCCAGGAUUGGAGAGCAAGCAGAGGAUCCUAACUAAGUGAUGUGCAAAGGGGAAAUCUCUCCUGUUGUAGCUUCACUGUGGGGGAGGAGGGAAGGAGAAACCAUCCAGAUGCUCAGGGCAGGCCUGUGCUUGAAGGAGAACUGAUUCACCAGAAUCCUCUGCUCCCAUGGCCCUGCUUCGCAAGCAGCCGUGCCUUGUGGGCUGUCCCACAUUCAGGAAUUCAGAUUAGGAAGAGGUAAAUGAAGGUUAAACAGGUGGAGCAGCUGUCUGGACUCUCUCCAGGCGGUUCUUAUCUCCAGGAAAUGUGUUGAGCAAUACAGGAUCCUGCAUUCUGGAUGAGACCUCCUGGAUACAAACCAAAAAUACCUUGUAGAGCACCGCCUUUUCCAGCUGAAAGUUGAGCUGUUCUGCUCAGAAAUGAUACAA